RNAcentral lists this long non-coding RNA (234 nucleotides) under Hordeum vulgare. Its description in RNAcentral is "long non-coding RNA (HVUL_LNC011698)". The record is from RNAcentral. Lineage: Eukaryota; Viridiplantae; Streptophyta; Magnoliopsida; Poales; Poaceae.
AUCUUCUUCUUCUUCUUCUUCUUCUUCUUCUUGUUCUUCUUCUUCUUGUUCUUCUUCUUCCACUUCUUCUUCUUGUUCUUGUUGUUCUUCUUGUUCUUCUUGUUCUUCUUCUUCUUCUUCCACUUCUUCUUCUAAUUGCUUAGCUUAAUUUAGAUAACUUCUUUCUUAUUGUAUUAUUCUUCUAACUUCUUUCUCAUUAUGCAGAUUUUGAUAAAGCAGCAUGGCAUAUGGAUG